CUAAUCUUAUCGGUGGAUCACUCGGCUCGUGGGUCGAUAAAGAACGCAGCUAACUGCGAUACAUCGUGCGAGCUGCAGAAACAUUGAGCACAAAAGCUUCGAAUGCACAUUGCGCCAUUGGAUUCACAUCCUCUGGCACGCCUGGUUCAGGUUCAGGUUCAUA
RNAcentral lists this ribosomal RNA (163 nucleotides) under Pratylenchus brachyurus. RNAcentral's name for it is "5.8S ribosomal RNA". It matches the Rfam family "5.8S ribosomal RNA". Rfam says of the family: 5.8S ribosomal RNA (5.8S rRNA) is a component of the large subunit of the eukaryotic ribosome. Lineage: Eukaryota; Metazoa; Nematoda; Chromadorea; Rhabditida; Pratylenchidae. The record is from RNAcentral.